Cercocebus atys (sooty mangabey) is the source of this 127-nucleotide microRNA precursor. The record is from Ensembl. Lineage: Eukaryota; Metazoa; Chordata; Mammalia; Primates; Cercopithecidae.
GGUUCUUGAGGGCAGGAGUUGGGUCUUAGGACUGAUAGCCCCUAGUGGCUAACCCCGGGUCUAGCAGCCCAUGGCAGUGUCUGGUAAACACUGGUGGAGUCCUGGGUGGAAGAAGGUCUGGUCCUCA